RNAcentral lists this ribosomal RNA (496 nucleotides) under uncultured bacterium. Its description in RNAcentral is "bacterial SSU rRNA". It matches the Rfam family "Bacterial small subunit ribosomal RNA", at positions 8 to 507 of the family's 1533-position model. The record is from RNAcentral.
AGAGUUUGAUCAUGGCUCAGGAUGAACGCUAGCGGCAGGCCUAAUACAUGCAAGUCGAACGCUCAGUAGCAAUACUGGGAGUGGCGCACGGGUGCGUAACGCGUACACAAUCUACCUCUAAGCGGGGGACACCUCCUGGAAACGGGGAUUAAUACCGCAUAAUAUGCCGAAGUCGCAUGACUUUGGUAUUAAAGCAGCAAUGCACUUAGAGAUGAGUGUGCGUCCCAUUAGGUAGUUGGUGAGGUAACGGCUCACCAAGCCUAUGAUGGGUAGCCGGUCUGAGAGGAUGGUCGGCCACACGGGCACUGAGACACGGGCCCGACUCCUACGGGAGGCAGCAGUAAGGAAUAUUGGUCAAUGGUGGAAACACUGAACCAGCCAUGCCGCGUGGAGGAAUAAGGUCCUACGGAUUGAAAACUCCUUUUGACGAGGAAGAAAAUGUUAGAUUUAUCUAAUUUUGACGGUACUCGUAGAAUAAGCACCGGCUAACUCCGUG